GUAGGUGGCAAGCGUUGUCCGGAAUUAUUGGGCGUAAAGCGCGCGCAGGCGGUUCUUUAAGUCUGAUGUGAAAGCCCACGGCUCAACCGUGGAGGGUCAUUGGAAACUGGAGAACUUGAGUACAGAAGAGGAAAGCGGAAUUCCACGUGUAGCGGUGAGAUGCGUAGAGAUGUGGAGGAACACCAGUGGCGAAGGCGGCUUUCUGGUCUGUAACUGACGCUGAGGCGCGAAAGCGUGGGGGGAGCAAACAGGAUUAGAUACCCUGGUAGUCCACGCCGUAAACGAUGAGUGCUAAGUGUUAGGGGGUUUCCGCCCCCCCCUUAGUGCUGCAGCUAACGCAUUAAGCACUCCGCCUGGGGAGUACGGCCGCAAGGCUG
RNAcentral lists this ribosomal RNA (377 nucleotides) under uncultured organism. Its description in RNAcentral is "partial 16S ribosomal RNA". It matches the Rfam family "Bacterial small subunit ribosomal RNA", at positions 527 to 896 of the family's 1533-position model. The record is from RNAcentral.